Olea europaea var. sylvestris is the source of this 929-nucleotide long non-coding RNA. RefSeq lists it as uncharacterized. The record is from RefSeq and is a predicted model, not a curated record. NCBI's taxonomy places the organism in Eukaryota, Viridiplantae, Streptophyta, Magnoliopsida, Lamiales, Oleaceae. The transcript has 3 exons.
ACCUACCAAUUACAAUUCCAGAAAUUGAAAUUUUGCUUUGAUGUUGCAAAAUAUUCUAGAUGUCGCAAACCGAGAGUCAAUCGGGGCAGCCCUAGAAACCAAGGAAGACCCUUUUCUCAGCAUAACCGGAAUUUAAGUUCUCGUUUCUUGUUCUCUCCCUUUUGAUGGUGCAGAAUUAUGGAAUUCUUGGUCGUUUUGAUCUACUAAAAUCGAACAAAGAAACAGGGUUCGGAAUGUUCAGCAGCAGCAGGGUAUAAAUGCAGAACAGAGCAUUAUGGAAAUUCCUGCCACCGACUUCGUUUCAGAGUCGCGAGAUAAGCCCAAGGGAGGAGCAAUUGAUCCCAAGCCCGAGAAUAAGCACUGCAUUUGAUGCAAAACAUAUACCCAUGUUUCCAUAUAUGAAAGCAUUGAUUCUCUAGCAGAGAACAAUAGAUCCGUUGAGAAAGAGGGGGAAGAUUUAGAAAGGGCUCGACCACAUCAGUCGCAUUCACUCUCUGAAAAUGAAAAUUCUGUGGCAUCUAGUACGGGAUUUUAUCCUCGGAAUCAUACCCUCAUUUGUGUCGAAAGUAUGGUUUUAUGGACUUCAAAACAUGCCAAAAAAUGCCCUAGAGCCUCGGCGCCAAGGAGUGGCGCCGCAACGCUGUGUCUUUGUUUGGUGUGAUUUGGUGGUGCCAUGGGUGGAACUCAGCACUGCACAUCCUUCAAUAUUUUUAUCAUAACUUUCUCUCCUGAUAUUCAAUUGAGCGUAAAGAUAACUCAAAGAGCUACAAAUUUUCUUGAAAUAGCUAUUUUCCAAUUCAAAUGUUUACUAGGUCAAAAAUGGGUUUCAAUCUUGAGCUAAAAAUCUAGAACAUACUUAUGCGAUUGAAAAUCAACACCAUGUCCAUGUUUUGAUCAUAUUUCACUCAUUUUUACUUCUAAUUGCAUUC